AAAUGAAUAGACGGGGGCCCGCACAAGCGGUGGAGCAUGUGGUUUAAUUCGACGCAACGCGAAGAACCUUACCAGGGUUUGACAUCCUCUGCUCGCUAUAGAGAUAUAGUUUUUUCUUCGGAAACAGAGAGACAGGUGGUGCAUGGUUGUCGUCAGCUCGUGUCGUGAGAUGUUGGGUUAAGUCCCGCAACGAGCGCAACCCCUGUACUUAGUUGCUAACAUUAAGUUGAGCACUCUAAGUAGACUGCCGGUGACAAACCGGAGGAAGGUGGGGAUGACGUCAAAUCAUCAUGCCCCUUAUGUCCUGGGCUACACACGUGCUACAAUGGUUGGUACAAAGGGCAGCGAAGCCGCAAGGCGAAGCAAAUCCCAAAAAGCCGAUCACAGUUCGGAUUGCAGGCUGAAACUCGCCUGCAUGAAGCAGGAAUCGCUAGUAAUCGCAGGUCAGCAUACUGCGGUGAAUACGUUCCCGGGCCUUGUACACACCGCCCGU
Molecule: ribosomal RNA, 493 nt
Filed under: uncultured bacterium
Lineage: Bacteria
Description: bacterial SSU rRNA
Rfam family: Bacterial small subunit ribosomal RNA
Source: RNAcentral